RNAcentral lists this ribosomal RNA (818 nucleotides) under Tricholoma bakamatsutake. Its description in RNAcentral is "partial small subunit ribosomal RNA". It matches the Rfam family "Bacterial small subunit ribosomal RNA", at positions 411 to 1060 of the family's 1533-position model. The record is from RNAcentral. Lineage: Eukaryota; Fungi; Basidiomycota; Agaricomycetes; Agaricales; Tricholomataceae.
AAAUCAUUAUGAGUCAUUAAUUUGGUGAUUAUGAUAACAUAAGGGAAAAAAAAUGAUAUUACCUUAUUAUUAGUGUUGUCCAAAACUGGUGCCAGAAGACUCGGUAAGACCAGAGACGCAAACGUUAGUCAUCUUAAUCAGGCGUAAAGGGUGUGUAGGCUGCUUUAAAAGUUUAAAUCUUUUUAAUAGCUCUUUUGCCGUUGUCAUACCAUUAUUUUUUUGUUUUUGUUUUUUGUUUUAUAAAUAAUAAACAAAAAUGAAUAUAAAGGUAGUACAUUUUAUAAAUUUAAUUAAUUUAAUUAAUUUAAUUAAUUUAAUUUUAUAAUUAUAAAGGGGACAAAAAAGAUAUCCCGGUUUAAGUAAAAAGAAUAAAAUGAAUUAAAGCUAGGAUCAAAUUGAGGAUAAACCAAAUAAUACUUAGAGUAGGGCCGAUAUCCGCAGAUACUAAGGGGAAUACUAAAGGUGAAAGCUUUUUAUCUACUAUUGAUUGACGCUGAGAAACGAAGGUGAGAACAGGAAAUAGGAUUUGAUACCCAGAUACCUCUCACUGUCAACGAUGAAUGGUGGUUGUUAGUUUUAAUAAAAACUGGUAACGAUGUUAACACGAUAACCAUUCCGCCUUGCGAGUACGGUUGCAAAACUGAAACCAAAAAAAUUAGUCGGUUUCGAAGCAAACGAAGUGAGCAUGUUAUUUAAUACGAGAGUACGCGUAAACCUUACCAGUUCUUGCAUAUCCAGUCUGUUUCUAAUGAGACAGAUUGAGUAAUUUUUAUAAUUUUAAAAAUUCGUUUACAGGUGUUGCAUGGCUGUCGUCAACU